GACGAACGCUGGCGGCGUGCUUAACACAUGCAAGUCGAACGGAAAGGCCCUGCUUUUGUGGGGUGCUCGAGUGGCGAACGGGUGAGUAACACGUGAGUAACCUGCCCUUGACUUUGGGAUAACUUCAGGAAACUGGGGCUAAUACCGGAUAGGAGCUCCUGCUGCAUGGUGGGGGUUGGAAAGUUUCGGCGGUUGGGGAUGGACUCGCGGCUUAUCAGCUUGUUGGUGGGGUAGUGGCUUACCAAGGCUUUGACGGGUAGCCGGCCUGAGAGGGUGACCGGCCACAUUGGGAAAGAGAUACGGCCCAGACUCCUACGGGAGGCAGCAGUGGGGAAUAUUGCACAAUGGGCGGAAGCCUGAUGCAGCAACGCCGCGUGCGGGAUGACGGCCUUCGGGCUGUAAACCGCUUUCGCCUGUGACGAAGCGUGAGUGACGGUAAUGGGUAAAGAAGCACCGGCUAACUACGUG
RNAcentral lists this ribosomal RNA (468 nucleotides) under uncultured bacterium. RNAcentral's name for it is "partial 16S ribosomal RNA". It matches the Rfam family "Bacterial small subunit ribosomal RNA", at positions 28 to 507 of the family's 1533-position model. The record is from RNAcentral.